This is a long non-coding RNA of Numida meleagris (helmeted guineafowl), 1948 nucleotides long. The record is from Ensembl. NCBI's taxonomy places the organism in Eukaryota, Metazoa, Chordata, Aves, Galliformes, Numididae.
UGUAAUAGAGCCUGCGGCAAGAGGACUGAAGUGAAACAAAGCUUACCUCCUACCUUCAUGAAAACAUAAUUAUUUCCCAUUGUCUGAAAUAGCACAAUAGCAAGAAAUCAAGUUUAAUUUAAUUUUAUAAUUUAUUUCAUGAGUUUACUCACUGUUCCUUUACAGUUUUUGUUCCUUUACAGCAUUACAGUUCUGCUAUAAGAGCAAAGUCAUUUUUCACCUUUAAGAGUGGGAAACUGCAUUUUUUUUCUACCUCUGAGUAGAGCAGUUCUAAAGGUGACUAUUAAAGCAAAACCCAAGUCCCUGAGGAGCAAGGAGGAAUGUACAUCUAAUGUUAAGUGAGGAAUAAGGUCAAUUUACAGUUGUGGCACUUCUCAGGUGCUUUAGGGAGAGUUUAUGUUUCAGAAUAUUGAAGUCUUUUUCAUCUUUGGAGGAGAUUGCAUUAGGUAGAUCUCACAAGUUUGUGUUGUACAGAUAGGUUUGUAGUUAACAGUAGCAUACUCUUGCACAAAAUGUACGUUGCUGAUGUGUGAAACAGUUUGUUUGAACUGUCUGCCAUUAUAUGGAUGGCAUAGCGAGUUGCUAGUGUGAAGUUGUGUACAGCGGUGAUGUUUCAAAUGCUCUUGUGUCUGGAAACUCAGUUAUUUAAGCUAUAGCAUUGGGACACUUUGUGCACCUCCAUGUUCCCUAACUAGCAUCCAAUGUACUGGGUCAUGGAGUUCUAGCUUAGAAUCAGUAAAAAAUAUUUCAUAGAUGCAAAUAUUUUCGUAAGAUGUAUUUGAAAAGCAAGGAAACAUCUGUGCUAGUGAAACAUAAUAGCCGUUACAUACCCUUGCCUCAGCUCAUUACGAUCAACUCUCAGACUAGUGUUGCUCAACAAUUUAUGCAUUUAAGCACUUAUUUCUUCUGUUUUAUGUGCGUUAUUGCUCUAUAACAUGGCUAGCAAAUCACUGUGUAUUGAAUUAUCUUUGCUGAAUGUUCACGUGGAAAGGAAGGCGUUAAAGUGGGUGGAAGCAGGCUUUCUUUUCAAGAUUCAGCGUGAUGCCAGAACCUCUGUUGCCUGCUGCAAUGCUGUCAGCUCCCUCGGUGGGAGAGCUGCCCUCAUUAACACAGCUUUGAGCCUGGAGACAGCACAGAGUAUCUUCAAACAGCAUCCACUGAAUGAGGAAACGUGGCAGACAGAUGUAGCACAACAAAUUUUUCCAUGGCAUCACAUACAAAAUGUAGAAACAAAGGAUCAUUUAUAAGAAGCUUUUCCCUUGUCUACUUCAUUCAGAAUGCUUUUGAUAAUGUGCGUUAAACUUAAAUUGAAAUUAAAAAGCACUUUUUUUUGUAGAUACCUCCUUUUUUUUUUUUUUUGAGCAGUGUUAAUAGCACAGCUGAACACUCAUAAAUGUUCUUGGUUUAAGAAGUAGGGUUUACAAUAGGCGGAAACCUCAUGUAUAUUUGCCUUAUUGAAGGGACAUUAUCUGAGAGAUAUGGAGUAUAAUUUUUCCUUAAACUGUCUCAGCACAUUCAAACAGGUAAGUGAUGCACAACUUGAAGUGCAGUUUGACUUUUUGACAGAAAAAUCAAACUCAUUGCUGAAGCUCAUUUCUUUUUUCAAAAAUUGCAUACAUUAAUCAUUAGCACCUUUAACAAGCUGGAAGAUUGCCAAAUCUAUUUGGUCAAUAACUCUCAGCUUCAAACAAAAUACUGCACUAAUUUCUUUCAGAGUUGUGAAUGAUUUGCCUCCUGUAAAACUGAUGAGCACGAUCACAAAUUUUCUCUUAACAGUGAGGCAUAUGGUAUGUUUUGUAGUUACAAAUUUCCUUGCUAUUAGUUCUUUGGCACAGUUUUAAAAUUCUUUCAAUAUAGCAUUAUGUCUGACAGGAUAGAGAACUUAUUGGCUAAAGUACAGUAAGUGUGUUUAGUACAACUUUUGUUUAAGGCAACAGUGAGGGAGAUG